GGUCCGCACGUAACACUACACUGACGCACAAUGCCGCGUGAGUGAUGAAGGCCUUCGGGUCGUAAAGCUCUGUCAAAGGGAAAGAAACUCCCGUCGGUUAAUACCCGGCGGGCCUGACGGUACCCUCAAAGGAAGCACCGGCUAACUCCGUGCCAACAGCCGCGGUAAUACGGAGGGUGCAAGCGUUGUUCGGAAUUAUUGGGCGUAAAGGGCGUGUAGGCGGUUCGUUAAGUCUGAUGUGAAAGCCCUGGGCUUAACCUGGGAAAGUGCAUUGGAAACUGGCGAACUUGAGUAUGGGAGAGGAAAGUGGAAUUCCGAGUGUAGGGGUGAAAUCCGUAGAUAUUCGGAGGAACACCAGUGGCGAAGGCGGCUUUCUGGACCAAUACUGACGCUGAGACGCGAAAGCGUGGGGAGCAAACAGGAUUAGAUACCCUGGUAGUCCACGCCGGUAAACGAU
Molecule: ribosomal RNA, 457 nt
Filed under: uncultured prokaryote
Description: bacterial SSU rRNA
Rfam family: Bacterial small subunit ribosomal RNA
Source: RNAcentral